Gadus macrocephalus (Pacific cod) is the source of this 1873-nucleotide long non-coding RNA. RefSeq lists it as uncharacterized. NCBI's taxonomy places the organism in Eukaryota, Metazoa, Chordata, Actinopteri, Gadiformes, Gadidae. The transcript is spliced from 8 exons. The record is from RefSeq and is a predicted model, not a curated record.
UACUUGCGGGCCUAUUUUUCACAUUAGUGAAGGCUGAAAAUCAUUUCAAGGUGGAAGAUAAUUUGACAUUUCUUCAACGGAACCCAGCACCUGAAUAUGGCUGAGUAUAUUUGAUUUAAAUAUCGAUACUGCUUAGUGUUCUUUGUUACUUCAGCUUUUGUACUUUCUAAAUAUCUGCUGUCAUUAAUUGCCACAGAAGUUAAACCCUAUCCAAUGGAAUGAUGUUAAACAACGACUUUGGUGCAGAGUUAACAACUGGAUAAUAUAAAAGCUAAAAUAAUGGCUGUCAUUCCCACAUGUUACAGUAGAAGAUACUUUAGAACUGUACAAGGUUAAAAAGGCAUGUAGUUUGUCCCAAGGUGUCUGCCUCCUCACCCAGAGCCAGACCUCCACCUCCUCACCCAGAGCCAGACCUCCACCUCCUCACCCAGAGCCAGACCUCCACCUCCUCACCCAGAGCCAGACCUCCACCUCCUCACCCAGAGCCAGACCUCCACCUCCUCACCCAGAGCCAGACCUCCACCUCCUCACCCAGAGCCAGACCUCCACCUCCUCACCCAGAGCCAGACCUCCACCUCCUGUCAGAAGUUCUCCAGAACAGCGGAAAGGCCUGGCUGAGAGGCUGGGGACCGGAGGCUUGUGGUGCCAGGAUGGACCGGAGACUGAGGCUGGAGACCAGGGGCCUGCAGCACCGGACCAGAGGGUAACCAUCACCAAGCUCAUCUGAAACACUAAAAUCCACGACCAGGAAUCCAUGGCUGAAGGAGCUGAUGGAGGAGCCGUGCUGAAGGAGCUGAUGGAGGAGCCGUUCUGAAGGAGCUGAUGGAGGAGUCGUGCUGAAGGCCCUGCCUUGUGGAGGAGCUGGUGGAGGCCCUGCCUGGUGAAGGACGUCUGUCGGGGGACCAGGACUCUGUCUGAGGAGAGCUGCUGGAGGAGCUGAGACGCUGGAGGACGACUAGGAAUCGACCAACAAGGAUUCCUCAACGUGUUUCUGGAGCGGAGGCGAGCUGGUAGGGGAGCCGUGAAUCUGGAGGAUGACCAUCACUCUACCAACAAGGAUAACUUUAGGGCCAGACUCGCGCUGUUUGUUCCAGACCAGGACUCUGGCUGAGGAGAGCUGAUGGAGGAGCCAAGACUCGAGCCAAGAGGACGACAUCACUCUACCAACAAGGAUCCUCACCAGGAAUCUGGAGGACUGAUGGAGAAGCCGUACAUCUGGAAGGCAAAUCCUGAGGACCACCAGGACUCUAUCAUCAAGGAUUCCUCAUGAGUUUGCAUUAUCUGGACAAAGUGGACUAGACGCACCUGAGCUGAACCUCACCUGAUCCUGUUUGGUCGGGGGGUAGACACACCUGAGCUAAACCCGCCCUGAUCCUGACAUCCUGCUGGUCCCGUCUCCUCAGUUCAUCUGAGCCUCGUCCUCCAGAAGACCUGCUGAGCUCAGCAGUCUGAGGCUGAUGGAUCAAUGACCUCCAGUGGGAGUGAUCUUCUUGACCCCACAUGUAACCGUGUGCUUCCACACGCCUUUCCCUCACGUCUGUCACUAACUUCACUACUUCACUACUCUCUACUGCUUCCUCUUUCCUUCCUUCUCUGUGGUUCGAACCUUUACACGGAAGGCGCGUCUUCCUGCCCUCAGAGGGUUUAGCGUUAGGGUUGAGAGUCAGGGUUUAGAGUCAGGGACAGAGCUGGUCAGGGAGGACUGCUUUUACACAAACCUCUUCACUUGCUUUACGGAAUGGUGGUGACAUUUUGAGAAGAUUCAUUUGAGGAAAUGUUUUCCUCUGCUUUCCUUUACAAAAUUGUAUUAAACUUCUGUCAAGUGUUUUUGUUCAUGUAUUAAAAUCCCACAUUGACUUCUACAUGUUUGGUG